Molecule: ribosomal RNA, 377 nt
Filed under: uncultured soil bacterium
Lineage: Bacteria
Description: bacterial SSU rRNA
Rfam family: Bacterial small subunit ribosomal RNA
Source: RNAcentral
AGAUUGAACGCUGGCGGCAUGCCUUACACAUGCAAGUCGAACGGCAGCACAGGAGCAAUCCUGGUGGCGAGUGGCGAACGGGUGAGUAAUACAUCGGAACGUGCCCAAUCGUGGGGGAUAACGCAGCGAAAGCUGUGCUAAUACCGCAUAAGAUCUACGGAUGAAAGCAGGGGAUCGCAAGACCUUGCGCGAAUGGAGCGGCCGAUGGCAGAUUAGGUAGUUGGUGAGGUAAAGGCUCACCAAGCCUUCGAUCUGUAGCUGGUCUGAGAGGACGACCAGCCACACUGGGACUGAGCACGGCCAGACUCCUACGGGAGCAGCAGUGGGAAUUUUGGACAAGUGGGACGAAAGCCGUGAUUCCAGUCCAGUGCCGCGUG